UACGUAGGGGGCAAGCGUUGUCCGGAAUCAUUGGGCGUAAAGCGCGUGUAGGCGGCCCGGUAAGUCCGCUGUGAAAGUCCAGGGCUCAACCCUGGAAUGCCGGUGGAUACUGUCGGGCUCGAGUCCGGAAGAGGCGAGUGGAAUUCCUGGUGUAGCGGUGAAAUGCGCAGAUAUCAGGAGGAACACCAAUUGCGAAGGCAGCUCGCUGGGACGUUACUGACGCUGAGACGCGAAAGCGUGGGGAGCAAACAGG
Molecule: ribosomal RNA, 253 nt
Filed under: uncultured bacterium
Lineage: Bacteria
Description: partial 16S ribosomal RNA
Rfam family: Bacterial small subunit ribosomal RNA
Source: RNAcentral